RNAcentral lists this ribosomal RNA (446 nucleotides) under uncultured bacterium. Its description in RNAcentral is "partial 16S ribosomal RNA". It matches the Rfam family "Bacterial small subunit ribosomal RNA", at positions 338 to 795 of the family's 1533-position model. The record is from RNAcentral.
CCUACGGGUGGCAGCAGUCGAGAAUCAUUCACAAUGGGGGAAACCCUGAUGGUGCGACGCCGCGUGGGGGAAUGAAGGUCCUCGGAUUGUAAACCCCUGUCAUGUGGGAGCAAAUUAAAAAGAUAGUACCACAAGAGGAAGAGACGGCUAACUCUGUGCCAGCAGCCGCGGUAAUACAGAGGUCUCAAGCGUUGUUCGGAAUCACUGGGCGGAAAGCGUGCGUAGGCUGUUUCGUAAGUCGUGUGUGAAAGGCGCGGGCUCAACCCGCGGACGGCACAUGAUACUGCGAGACUAGAGUAAUGGAGGGGGAACCGGAAUUCUCGGUGUAGCAGUGAAAUGCGUAGAUAUCGAGAGGAACACUCGUGGCGAAGGCGGGUUCCUGGACAUUAACUGACGCUGAGGCACGAAGGCCAGGGGAGCGAAAGGGAUUAGAUACCCUGGUAGUC